AUUACUUGGGAAACUUUUUAAAAACGUACAUACCCUUGUCCUACCCCGGACCUACUAAUUGAGUGGCACAGAUCUUAAUAAGCUUGGAUACCCAAAUACCCAAUUACAUAAGACCUAGAAAUGUCAUCUGCAGGGCCUGAGCCAAUGCUUGAUUACUCCAUGGGCAAUAAUCAUAUAUAUGGGUCACAUGCAAAGCAGGGGCAUAUCCCCCAAUGCUGGUUAUUCUCUGUCCUCUCACUACCCAGUUCCAUUCUCGGCCCUUCUCUACCCUACCCCUGGAAACUGACCUCUAUGAACUGUAUUUCCAGGUCUCACUUGCCCUCUGGCUUCUGACCGAGCUUGGCUCAUGAGAGUCAGAGGCAGAUCUGAAGGUGGAAGGAAAGCAUGGGUGGGGUUCCCCCUCACCAGCUUGCUGGGCUGAGCUGAAGUUCUGGCGAUGGCUGUGCUUCUCCAUGGCUACACCUCCAGGCUCCUGCGCUGGACCUCAGACUUAGGGAUGGCAACCUCUCUCUGCUGUUGCUGGUCUUAGGUCACGUCAUGCAGCUGGUAAAGUCGACACUGACAUCCAAGGCGCCUUCAGGACCUGCAGCCCAGCCCCACCUUGUGUAUAUGACUGGAAUGCAUGGAACCGGAUAGGAGCUCACCAAGUAAAGAGAGAAAACCUCAAGCUAUAGUCAUUGGCCCCAGUGCAGGUGUCUAAAGGCCCAGGCUCCAUUCCGGGCUUAGCAAGUCAACUAACCACUGUGAGAAUCCAUGUAAUACCUGUCUGUGGUAAAGAAGAAGAAGGAGGAGGAGAAGAGUGCACAAAUAUCCUGGAAUUCUUUCCUCAUCGGUGUAUGUGUGCUGCUCACCAACAGAUGUAUAUACCACAGAUCUACACCAUUCAUUAAAUGGCUGCAUGGUAUCCCAUUACCUGGAUAUGUUACCACGUGUUAAUCAGUCCCCAUUGGGUAGAUAUUUAGGCUGUACUAGGUUUUGGCUAGUACAACAAUGAAUGUCUGCGUAUGAGCAAAGCUGUUUGAUAAAUCCCUAAGAAAGAGCUAAAUCACUGGCUAAAGGCAGCAUGCAUUUUUGAUUUUGAUAUUAAUCCAAAGAUGAUGCAUCAGUCUCCACUCACAUGGUAUUUCCUCACACUUUCACAACACUGAGUGUUACUAAUCCUUUUGAUAUUUUUAUUUUUGCCAAUUUGAGAGGUGGGAAACAUCUCAUUAGGUUUACUCAUUUAAUUAUGAAUGGGAUUCAGCCUCUUCUCACGUUUAUUAGUCAUGCAUAAGCUGUUCUUUCUGUGACCUGCCUGUUUCUUCUUUUGUGGUUUGAUUUGAGAUCCUUGGCAGUCACAAGGCCCUUCCCUAGACCUGCUCUGCACACACCUGUAGUCCCUCCCCCUGUCCUGCUCGGUUCUCUACUGCCGCCUAGUGACAGGGGUUGGAUUUACCACAGUUCCUCGCAGAUGCUCUAGUUGCAGGCUCCACGCUGGGGGUUUAACUCCCAGUUGGAAUCAUGCCCUUAGUUCCCAAAUAAAAAAAUCAGGACCUCUAGUUAAAUAUGAAUUUCAUAUAAACGACCAAUAACUUUUUGGUUGGUACCUACUUAUUGCUAAAAACUAUGCAUGGUUUAUCUGAAAUCCAAAUUUAACUAGGUGUCAGGUAAUUUAUCAGGCAACCCUAUUCUAAGGCCUCCCGCUAAAUCUGGGUCCCCAUCGUCACCACGCCUUACCUCCUUUAUUCUUAGCAAGUUCUACUAUGCCACAUUCCAACCUGGCAGUUUUCAAAACUAUGGUUGCAGGUGAUACAUAAAUCACUGUGGUUAAGACCUGGGCUCUGGAUUUGAAUCCUGACUCCGGCCACGUACAAGGUGUGAAAUCUCGUGAAAGUAACAUCUUCUCUGGAGCUCAGGUUUCCUCAUCAAGAGAAUAAUAUUUUCCUCAUUGGGUUGCUUUGAUGAUUUCUGACAUUAAAGCUACCAUUUAUUAAGCACUUUA
This is a long non-coding RNA of Herpailurus yagouaroundi (jaguarundi), 1981 nucleotides long. RefSeq lists it as uncharacterized. The transcript is spliced from 4 exons. The record is from RefSeq and is a predicted model, not a curated record. Lineage: Eukaryota; Metazoa; Chordata; Mammalia; Carnivora; Felidae.